Molecule: ribosomal RNA, 900 nt
Filed under: Triticum aestivum (bread wheat)
Lineage: Eukaryota; Viridiplantae; Streptophyta; Magnoliopsida; Poales; Poaceae
Description: partial small subunit ribosomal RNA
Source: RNAcentral
AUGGCUACCGGUAGUGAUGCUGGAAAGUCCGCUGAGGCAGUGUUGGAGUGGCCUAAGCAGGACAAAAAGAGGAUGCUGCAUGCUGUUUACCGUGUGGGAGAUCUCGACCGCACAAUUAAGUGUUACACAGAAUGCUUUGGGAUGAAGCUGCUGAGGAAAAGAGAUGUCCCCGAAGAGAAGUACACCAAUGCCUUUCUUGGAUAUGGACCUGAGGAUACUAAUUUUGCACUUGAGCUGACUUACAUGACAAGACUGGCAAACGAACGGGAUUAUGGUGUUGACAAGUACGACAUUGGAGCGGGCUUUGGACAUUUUGCCAUCGCAAAUGAGGAUGUGUACAAGCUGUCUGAGACAAUUAAAUCAUCUGAUUGUUGUAAGAUCACUCGUGAACCUGGUCCUGUCAAGGGAGGGUCCACUGUGAUUGCCUUUGCACAAGACCCAGAUGGUUACAUGUUUGAGCUUAUCCAGAGGGGUCCGACGCCUGAGCCUCUCUGUCAAGUUAUGCUUCGUGUUGGUGACCUUGAUCGGGCUAUCAUGUUCUAUGAGAAGGCCCUUGGGAUGAAGCUUCUGAGGAAGAAGGAUGUGCCUCAGUAUAAGUACACUAUUGCCAUGAUGGGCUAUGCUGAGGAGGACAAGACCACUGUUCUGGAGUUGACAUACAACUAUGGUGUCACGGAAUAUAACAAGGGCAAUGCAUAUGCUCAGGUUGCUAUUGGCACUGACGAUGUGUACAAGAGCGCUGAAGCAGUUGAGCUGGUUACCAAAGAACUAGGUGGAAAGAUUCUAAGGCAGCCAGGGCCACUGCCGGGGCUGAACACCAAAAUCACCUCUUUCCUUGACCCAGAUGGCUGGAAAGUGGUUCUGGUGGAUCAUGCGGACUUCCUCAAGGAACUCCACUGA